RNAcentral lists this unclassified non-coding RNA (378 nucleotides) under uncultured Oligoflexales bacterium. RNAcentral's name for it is "contains 16S-23S intergenic spacer region". Lineage: Bacteria; Pseudomonadati; Bdellovibrionota; Oligoflexia; Oligoflexales. The record is from RNAcentral.
UCCGGCUUAACGCCGGCGGUCUCCAUAGAGUGCCCAACUGAAUGAUGGCAACUAUGGACAAGGGUUGCGCUCGUUAAGGGACUUAACCCGACAUCUCACGAUACGAGCUGACGACAGCCAUGCAGCACCUAAACUGCCGGUCACCGAAGUGAAAACUCUGUCUCCAGAGCUGUCCGACAUUGUCUAACCCAGGUAAGGUUCUUCGCGUUGCAUCGAAUUAAACCACAUGCUCCACCGCUUGUGCGGGCCCCCGUCAAUUCCUUUGAGUUUUAACCUUGCGGCCGUACUUCCCAGGCGGGGUACUUAAUGCGUUAGCGUCGGCACUGCAGGGGUCAAUUCCCACAACACCUAGUACCCAUCGUUUACAGCGUGGACUAC